CCUACGGGUGGCAGCAGUGAGGAAUAUUGGUCAAUGGCCGGAAGGCUGAACCAGCCAUGCCGCGUGAAGGGCAGGGACCUAUGGGCGUUAAACUUCUUUUGUGCGGGAGCAAGAAUGGUCACGUGUGGCCAGACGAGAGUACCGUACGAAUAAGCAUCGGCUAACUCCGUGCCAGCAGCUGCGGUAAGACGGGGGUUGCAAGCGUUAUCCGGAUUUAUUGGGUUUCAAGGGUGCGUAGGCUGUGAGGUAAGGCAGCGGUGCAAUGCCCCCGCUCAACGGGGGGAAGUGCCAUUGAUACUGCCUUGCUGGAUUGCGGCUGCCGUGGGCGGAAUGUGUGGUGUAGCGGU
This 347-nucleotide ribosomal RNA is filed under the name uncultured bacterium. RNAcentral describes it as "partial 16S ribosomal RNA". It matches the Rfam family "Bacterial small subunit ribosomal RNA", at positions 338 to 682 of the family's 1533-position model. The record is from RNAcentral.